This 67-nucleotide transfer RNA is filed under the name Eurygaster testudinaria. Its description in RNAcentral is "tRNA-Asp". It matches the Rfam family "tRNA". From Rfam's summary of the family: Transfer RNA (tRNA) molecules are approximately 80 nucleotides in length. Their secondary structure includes four short double-helical elements and three loops (D, anti-codon, and T loops). The record is from RNAcentral. Lineage: Eukaryota; Metazoa; Arthropoda; Insecta; Hemiptera; Scutelleridae.
AAGGAUUUAGUUUAAACAAAACAUUAACUUGUCAAGUUAAAAACAUUAAAUGUAUUAAUAUUCCUUA